RNAcentral lists this ribosomal RNA (1372 nucleotides) under uncultured bacterium. Its description in RNAcentral is "bacterial SSU rRNA". It matches the Rfam family "Bacterial small subunit ribosomal RNA", at positions 28 to 1381 of the family's 1533-position model. The record is from RNAcentral.
GAUGAACGCUGGCGGCGUGCCUAAUACAUGCAAGUCGAGCGAACGGACGAGAAGCUUGCUUCUCUGAUGUUAGCGGCGGACGGGUGAGUAACACGUGGAUAACCUACCUAUAAGACUGGGAUAACUUCGGGAAACCGGAGCUAAUACCGGAUAAUAUUUUGAACCGCAUGGUUCAAAAGUGAAAGACGGUCUUGCUGUCACUUAUAGAUGGAUCCGCGCUGCAUUAGCUAGUUGGUAAGGUAACGGCUUACCAAGGCAACGAUGCAUAGCCGACCUGAGAGGGUGAUCGGCCACACUGGAACUGAGACACGGUCCAGACUCCUACGGGAGGCAGCAGUAGGGAAUCUUCCGCAAUGGGCGAAAGCCUGACGGAGCAACGCCGCGUGAGUGAUGAAGGUCUUCGGAUCGUAAAACUCUGUUAUUAGGGAAGAACAUAUGUGUAAGUAACUGUGCACAUCUUGACGGUACCUAAUCAGAAAGCCACGGCUAACUACGUGCCAGCAGCCGCGGUAAUACGUAGGUGGCAAGCGUUAUCCGGAAUUAUUGGGCGUAAAGCGCGCGUAGGCGGUUUUUUAAGUCUGAUGUGAAAGCCCACGGCUCAACCGUGGAGGGUCAUUGGAAACUGGAAAACUUGAGUGCAGAAGAGGAAAGUGGAAUUCCAUGUGUAGCGGUGAAAUGCGCAGAGAUAUGGAGGAACACCAGUGGCGAAGGCGACUUUCUGGUCUGUAACUGACGCUGAUGUGCGAAAGCGUGGGGAUCAAACAGGAUUAGAUACCCUGGUAGUCCACGCCGUAAACGAUGAGUGCUAAGUGUUAGGGGGUUUCCGCCCCUUAGUGCUGCAGCUAACGCAUUAAGCACUCCGCCUGGGGAGUACGACCGCAAGGUUGAAACUCAAAGGAAUUGACGGGGACCCGCACAAGCGGUGGAGCAUGUGGUUUAAUUCGAAGCAACGCGAAGAACCUUACCAAAUCUUGACAUCCUUUGACAACUCUAGAGAUAGAGCUUUCCCCUUCGGGGGACAAAGUGACAGGUGGUGCAUGGUUGUCGUCAGCUCGUGUCGUGAGAUGUUGGGUUAAGUCCCGCAACGAGCGCAACCCUUAAGCUUAGUUGCCAUCAUUAAGUUGGGCACUCUAAGUUGACUGCCGGUGACAAACCGGAGGAAGGUGGGGAUGACGUCAAAUCAUCAUGCCCCUUAUGAUUUGGGCUACACACGUGCUACAAUGGACAAUACAAAGGGCAGCGAAACCGUGAGGUCAAGCAAAUCCCAUAAAGUUGUUCUCAGUUCGGAUUGUAGUCUGCAACUCGACUACAUGAAGCUGGAAUCGCUAGUAAUCGUAGAUCAGCAUGCUACGGUGAAUACGUUCCCGGGCCU